RNAcentral lists this ribosomal RNA (372 nucleotides) under uncultured organism. RNAcentral's name for it is "bacterial SSU rRNA". It matches the Rfam family "Bacterial small subunit ribosomal RNA", at positions 526 to 896 of the family's 1533-position model. The record is from RNAcentral.
CGUAGGGGGCAAGCGUUGUCCGGAAUCAUUGGGCGUAAAGCGCGUGUAGGCGGCCAGAUAAGUCCGCUGUGAAAUCUCGCGGCUCAACUUCGAGCUGUCGGUGGAAACUGUCUGGCUAGAGUCCGGAAGAGGAGAAUGGAAUUCCUGGUGUAGCGGUGAAAUGCGCAGAUAUCAGGAAGAACACCCGUGGCGAAGGCGGUUCUCUGGGACGGUACUGACGCUGAGACGCGAAAGCGUGGGGAGCGAACAGGAUUAGAUACCCUGGUAGUCCACGCCGUAAACGAUGGGUGCUAGGUGUGGGGGGUGUCGACUCCCUCCGUGCCGAAGCUAACGCAUUAAGCACCCCGCCUGGGGAGUACGGCCGCAAGGCUA